CAUUUCCCCAGCUGAGCUGCUUGGGACUGGGUGAAACACUGAGACUCCAGAACUCAUCGCUUUGCUAGGAGGCUGUUGGAGCAAUGAUCCAGACAAGGAGACUGAAUGCACCCUCGCUGAGUUUGCUGAUGGAACUAAGCUGGGAGCCAGUGUUGAGCUGCUUGAGGUGUAGGAAGGCUCUGCAGAGGGACCUGGACAGGCUGGAUUGAUGUGCCAAGUCAAGCUGUGUGAGAGUCAGCAAGGCAAGGUGCUGGGUCCUACUUGGGUCACAACAACCCAUGAAUGUUGCCGGUUGCCUGGGGGAAGAAACCAACCUCACCUGCCUACAGCCUCCCUUCAGCCUUCUUUUCUGCAGAGAAAGAUCUAGUCCCUGGUGAAACUGCCUCACUGCUUCCUCUUCCACCGCUGUCCACAUUCGGCUGGCAAGACACUGAUUCAGUUACUCAGCUGGCUCAGAUACCUGAGUGAUUUAAAUCACAGAAUGGCUCAGGUUGGAAGGGACCUCACAGAUCAUCUACUCCAACCUCCCUGACAUGGGCAGGGACACCUCUCAACCAGACUUGGUUGCUCAAGGCCUCAUGCA
Pogoniulus pusillus (Red-fronted tinkerbird) is the source of this 583-nucleotide long non-coding RNA. RefSeq lists it as uncharacterized. NCBI's taxonomy places the organism in Eukaryota, Metazoa, Chordata, Aves, Piciformes, Lybiidae. The record is from RefSeq and is a predicted model, not a curated record. The transcript has 4 exons.